RNAcentral lists this ribosomal RNA (328 nucleotides) under uncultured eukaryote. RNAcentral describes it as "partial 18S ribosomal RNA". It matches the Rfam family "Eukaryotic small subunit ribosomal RNA", at positions 1470 to 1796 of the family's 1831-position model. The record is from RNAcentral.
CCCUUAGAUGUCCGGGGCUGCACGCGCGCUACACUGAAGGAAUCAGCGUGCUAAAACCAUUGUCGAAAGGCAUUGGUAAACCCAUUAAAAUCCUGCGUGAUUGGGAUCGGGAAUUGCAAUUAUUUCCCUUGAACGAGGAAUUCCCAGUAAGUGUGGGUCAUAAGCUCGCGUUGAUUACGUCCCUGCCCUUUGUACACACCGCCCGUCGCUGCCCGGGACUGAGCCGUUUCGAGAAAAGCGGGGACUGCUGCUGUCGGGGCUUUCGGGCCUUGGCUUCGGUGGAAACCGCUUUAAUCGCAGUGGCUUGAACCGGGCAAAAGUCGUAACA